Molecule: long non-coding RNA, 281 nt
Filed under: Mytilus galloprovincialis (Mediterranean mussel)
Lineage: Eukaryota; Metazoa; Mollusca; Bivalvia; Mytilida; Mytilidae
Source: RNAcentral
GUAUUUUCAUUUUAUUUCAUUUUUUCAUUAUAUUUUUUGUGACAUGAUUUUGAGUGUGCAGUUUCUUCUUGUUGUGGUCUGAUCGAGUUGAUCAUGGGCCAAGUUUACACGUAAUUUUAAUGAUUAGAUUAUUUCCCUUUGUUAUUGAUUGGAAAAAAAUGACGGCAAUAUGUUCAUUUCAUCACACGAGUCACAAAUUUCCUUAAAACAGCUAUCGUGAAUAUCAUAUUCAUGAUUAUGAACAUUGGGAUGUAUCAGGCAACGCUUUCUUCACUUUUAAC